CCAGCUCGGGUAUAUUUACCGUUGCGAAGGACAAACUUGAUAUAAAAGUAACAAACGAUCCCUAUAAAAUUCAAAAUCUUUCGUUUUGGUUGAGAAAUUGAAGAUAGUUGUUAUAAAAUUGAUAGAACCUAAAAUGGAUGAGAAAAUAGGCCAAUCCAUCAGAUUUUUUUUUUUUUUUAUAUAAAUUCUAUCGGCUGAUCCGGUCAGUCCCGGUAGAAACACAUCGGAGUGGACAACUCUCUGAAGGGCCACCACACUGUCUAUUCCGAGUUUGGAAUGCUUUCCGACUAAUGUCAGAAAGUAGUCAGACCGCCUGCAUUUCUGACUAACAGGUAAACCAACU
This 343-nucleotide long non-coding RNA is filed under the name Capsella rubella. RNAcentral describes it as "long non-coding RNA (CRUB_LNC004078)". Lineage: Eukaryota; Viridiplantae; Streptophyta; Magnoliopsida; Brassicales; Brassicaceae. The record is from RNAcentral.